Molecule: ribosomal RNA, 348 nt
Filed under: uncultured bacterium
Lineage: Bacteria
Description: bacterial SSU rRNA
Rfam family: Bacterial small subunit ribosomal RNA
Source: RNAcentral
GGGCCGCGGGAAUUCGAUUCAGGCCUAACACAUGCAAGUCGAGCGGUAGAGAGAAGCUUGCUUCUCUUGAGAGCGGCGGACGGGUGAGUAAUGCCUAGGAAUCUGCCUGGUAGUGGGGGAUAACGUUCGGAAACGGACGCUAAUACCGCAUACGUCGUACGGGAGAAAGCAGGGGACCUUCGGGCCUUGCGCUAUCAGAUGAGCCUAGGUCGGAUUAGCUAGUUGGUGAGGUAAUGGCUCACCAAGGCUACGAUCCGUAACUGGUCUGAGAGGAUGAUCAGUCACACUGGAACUGAGACACGGUCCAGACUCCUACGGGAGGCAGCAGUGGGGAAUAUUGGACAAUGG